AUCUACCUUCAGGACGGGGACAACAGCUGGAAACGGCUGCUAAUACCCGAUAUGCCGAAAGGUGAAACGUUGUUUCGCCUGGAGAGGAGCUCGCGUCCGAUUAGCUAGUUGGUGGGGUAAAAGCUUACCAAGGCGACGAUCGGUAGCUGGUCUGAGAGGAUGAGCAGCCACACUGGAACUGAGACACGGUCCAGACUCCUACGGGAGGCAGCAGUGGGGAAUUUUCCGCAAUGGGCGAAAGCCUGACGGAGCAACGCCGCGUGGGGGAAGAAGGUUUUUGGAUUGUAAACCCCUUUUCUCAAGGAAGAACAAAAUGACGGUACUUGAGGAAUCAGCCUCGGCUAACUCCGUGCCAGCAGCCGCGGUAAUACGGAGGAGGCAAGCGUUAUCCGGAAUUAUUGGGCGUAAAGCGUUCGUAGGCGGCUGUUCAAGUCUGCUGUCAAAGACCGAGGCUCAACCUCGGGUCGGCAGUGGAAACUGGAUAGCUAGAGGUCGGUAGGGGCAGAGGGAAUUCCCAGUGUAGCGGUGAAAUGCGUAGAUAUUGGGAAGAACACCGGUGGCGAAAGCGCUCUGCUGGGCCGAACCUGACGCUGAGGGACGAAAGCUAGGGGAGCGAAUGGGAU
Molecule: ribosomal RNA, 623 nt
Filed under: Geitlerinema sp. GSP133-1
Lineage: Bacteria; Bacillati; Cyanobacteriota; Cyanophyceae; Geitlerinematales; Geitlerinemataceae
Description: bacterial SSU rRNA
Rfam family: Bacterial small subunit ribosomal RNA
Source: RNAcentral